Molecule: ribosomal RNA, 253 nt
Filed under: uncultured bacterium
Lineage: Bacteria
Description: partial 16S ribosomal RNA
Rfam family: Bacterial small subunit ribosomal RNA
Source: RNAcentral
UACGGAGGGUGCAAGCGUUAAUCGGAAUUACUGGGCGUAAAGCGCACGCAGGCGGUCUGUUAAGUCAGAUGUGAAAUCCCCGGGCUCAACCUGGGAACUGCAUUUGAAACUGGCAGGCUUGAGUCUCGUAGAGGGGGGUAGAAUUCCAGGUGUAGCGGUGAAAUGCGUAGAGAUCUGGAGGAAUACCGGUGGCGAAGGCGGCCCCCUGGACGAAGACUGACGCUCAGGUGCGAAAGCGUGGGGAGCAAACAGG